GGUUCGAUCCUGGCUCAGAUUGAACGCUGGCGGUCUUACACAUGCAAGUCGAACGGCGGCACGGACUUCGGUCUGGUGGCGAGUGGCGAACGGGUGAGUAAUGUAUCGGAACGUGCCCUAGUAGCGCGGGGGAUAACUACGCGAAAGCGUAGCUAAUACCACAUACCGCCCUUCGGGAAAGCGGGGGGACCUUCGGGCCUCGCACUAUUAGAGCAGCCGAUAUCGGAUUGGCUAGUUGGUGGGGUAACGGCUCACCAAGGCGACGAUCCGUAGCUGGUUUGAGAGGACGACCAGCCACACUGGGACUGAGACACGGCCCAGACUCCUGCAGGAGAGGCAACAGUGAAAUUUUACGGACAAUGGGAAACCCUGAUCCAGCCAUCCCCGCGUGUGCGAUGAAGGCCUUCGGGUUGUAAAGCACUUUUUGGCGGGAAAGAAACAGCGCAGGAUAAUACCCCGUGCAGCGGCGGUACCUGGAAUAAGCACCGGCCGAAGGCGCUACGUGCCAGCAGCCGCGGUAAUACGUAAGUGCAAGCGUUAAUCGGAAUUACUGAGCGUAAAGCGUGCGCAGGCGGUUCCGGAAAAGAAAGAUGUGAAAUCCCAGAGCUUAACUUUGGAACUGCAUUUUUAACUACCGAGCUAGAGUGUGUCAGAGGGAGGUGGAAUUCCGCGUGUAGCAGUGAAAUGCGUAGAUAUGCGGAGGAACACCAUUGGCGAAGGCAGCCUCCUGGGAUAACUGCUGACGCUCAUGCACGAAAGCGUGGGGAGCAAACGGGAUUAGAUACCCUGGUAGUCCACGCCUAAACGAUAUCAACUAGCUGUUGAGGCCUUCGGGCCUUGGUAGCGCAGCUAACGCGUGAGAUUGACCGCCUGGGGAGAUACGGUCGCAAGAUUAAAACUCAAAGGAAUUGAGAAGCGCGGGACUACACAAGCGGUGGAUGAUGUGGAUUAAUUCAUUGGCACUUGCACGAAAACCUUACUACCCUUGACAUGUCUGAGAUGAUCCCGAAGAGAUUUGGGAGUGCUCGCGAAGAACAGAACCACCAGGUGCUACAUGGCUGUCGUCAGCUCGUGUCGUGAGAUGUUGAGUUAAGUCCCACCAACGAGCGCCCUUGUCAUUAGUUGCUACGAAGAGCACUCUAAUGAGAACUGCCGGUGACAAACCGGAGAGGGUGAGGAUGACGUCGAAUAUCGUAAGCCCUUAUGGGUAGGGCUUCACGUCAUGCAAUGGUCGGGACAGAGGGUCGCUAGCCGAAGGGAGCCAAUCCCAGAAACCCGAUCGUGAUCCGGAUCGCAGUCUGCAACUCGACUGCGUGAAGUGGAAUGUAAUAAUCGCGGAUCAGCAUGUCGCGGUGAAUACGUUCCGGGUCUUUAGCGCACACCGCCCGUCCACACCAUGGGAGUGGGUUUUACCAGAAGUAGUUAGCCUAACCCGUAAGGAGGCGAUUACCACUGACAGGGUAGUCGUAACAAGGUA
Molecule: ribosomal RNA, 1477 nt
Filed under: uncultured Bordetella sp.
Lineage: Bacteria; Pseudomonadati; Pseudomonadota; Betaproteobacteria; Burkholderiales; Alcaligenaceae
Description: partial 16S-23S ribosomal RNA intergenic spacer
Rfam family: Bacterial small subunit ribosomal RNA
Source: RNAcentral